Molecule: ribosomal RNA, 408 nt
Filed under: uncultured bacterium
Lineage: Bacteria
Description: bacterial SSU rRNA
Rfam family: Bacterial small subunit ribosomal RNA
Source: RNAcentral
CAGCAGCCGCGGUAAUACGGGGGGAGCAAGCGUUGUUCGGAUUCAUUGGGCGUAAAGAGCUCGUAGGCGGCUCUAUAAGUCGGUGGUGAAAUAUCACGGCUCAACCGUGAAAACGCCUCCGAAACUGUGGAGCUUGAGGCCGGGAGAGGAAAUCGGAAUUCCUGGUGUAGCGGUGAAAUGCGUAGAUAUCAGGAGGAACACCGGUGGCGAAGGCGGAUUUCUGGACCGGUUCUGACGCUCAGGAGCGAAAGCCAGGGGAGCAAACAGGAUUAGAUACCCUGGUAGUCCUGGCUGUAAACGAUGGGCACUAGGUGUGGGGGGAUCGACCCCUUCCGUGCCGCAGUUAACGCAUUAAGUGCCCCGCCUGGGGAGUACGACCGCAAGGUUGAAACUUAAAGGAAUUGACGG